Molecule: long non-coding RNA, 997 nt
Filed under: Nicotiana benthamiana
Lineage: Eukaryota; Viridiplantae; Streptophyta; Magnoliopsida; Solanales; Solanaceae
Description: long non-coding RNA (NBEN_LNC038771)
Source: RNAcentral
UGAAACGGAAAUAGAGAAUUUGGUGAUCUAUUUUGAGCAGAACAUGAUAUCAACUAAUGGUAUUCUACCUACAAACUUAAUCACAUUUGUUAACAGUUAAAUAGGAAUUAUCAUGUUUAUUAGAAUAAAAACGAACACGACGAUGCUCAGUUUACAGCCUAGCACCUAAUUUAGUAUUUUAAGUAACCUUUUAGCCUUAGUUCAUACGUUCUAAACAGUUCCAUUACCUAUUAAAAAUGGAAAAAAAAAAACUACUAGAGGUCUCAUCUCGUUACUGAGUCACUUUUUAAACAAAUGUAUGAAUAGCGGAUAGGAAAUUAACUAUAACUAAUCAUGAAAUUAUUAUAUCAACCUACAAUGAAAUUAACUACAACUAAUGUUUAACUCAUGAUGCUCACACGAAUCUGAGAAGUAACAGUUUAUACAGUCCAUUUAGUACAAAAUAAGCAAUGAUCUAAAUAGCAUCAGUGAACAGAAUGUCUGCAUACACAAAUCAGGAAGUAAACAAAGUCAAAACUCAUGUUUCAAUUCUUCACAUAGACUCAUUCUUCACGUUUUUAGCUCACAAUUAUUAGAGUUACAGCUGUGUACCUGGAAUUGAAUAAAACAUGAGAAAUCGGAGUCAACUACAGCAGCAGAUCAGUAUAGGUACGACUAAAGCAAGCAACAACAAAUCCCAAUUCCAAAACCCAGAAAAUGUUUUAACACUCAAUCAACCCGUCAAUCAAACCAAACAACUUGAAUAGCCACACAAACUUGAAACUAAACCCAGCAAUACUAUCUAAAAAUUCAGCAACCAAAACACAGUCUCUUCAAAUUAUUUUCAUUAGACUAGGACUCGAAUUGACAGUUGAACUUGCAAUUGAUCUCGGAAUAUCAAUAGAACAGUAAUGUUUAUGGAGUUUUCUACUGUUUUUUAUUUUUGUUUUUUAAAAUUUUCUGAAUCUCAAACUUCAGAUCUAUAAAAACUUGUAGAAUACUUUUGGGGGUUUUUUUU